Long non-coding RNA from Carcharodon carcharias (great white shark), 747 nucleotides. RefSeq lists it as uncharacterized. The record is from RefSeq and is a predicted model, not a curated record. The transcript has 3 exons. NCBI's taxonomy places the organism in Eukaryota, Metazoa, Chordata, Chondrichthyes, Lamniformes, Lamnidae.
UUCCGGUCGGCUUCGUCCUUCGUCCUCCAAGAGUCGAGCGGCGUUGUUUGGCCCUCGAAUUUACAAUCGAUCCCCCAACACUCUCUAAUUUCAGUGCCAGAAUUUUUCCCCUCUUUACGACGAAAAAAAACAAUCAAAUGCCGAGCGUUACCGUUGGCGUAUUUGAAUUGACGCCGUGCGCGCGCUCUUGAGAUUCCGAGAACCGUUAAAAGGCGCCGCGCGCCUGCUCAGGGAAGCUUUUGUCCUCCUCAAGCAAAAGCACUUUAAAUGCAAACUACCCCCCAGCCGCCUCCUCUCCAUCUCUGAGCAACGAUAGAGCGGACAAGGCAGGAGAGAAAGAUCUAUUCUCUGGUUCAGAUCCUCAAAUUGGCCCACCACUGCCCAUCUCAAACCCUGACCUCCCUAUCUAAUGGGUGGUAAAAUGAAUGCACUCACCUGCCCUCUGAUGUCAACGUUCGAUCUGGUGCCAGCGACUAGUAUUGCAAGGAUCCUGCUGACUAUGCCAAUUGUUGUGGUAAAAACAAUAAACCAACACUCUGAGUCUGUGAGCUUCAAGUCGGACUGGCAAUAUGACAUGUGCGAUACGACUCCAUAAUCCACUAAAUUUGUCGGUGUCCAAGAUAUUAUACUGCCCUGUCUUACCGGAGAUGGAAAAUUUCAUCACAAGGAAAUCAUAGACUGUCUCCUCCAGAAGACUAAAAUUUAAAUCUGGGUCCAAUUUUUCCUCAUCAAUUAAAACUGUGAUCA